CGGUGCCCAGAUCUGUCUGCCUCUGGCUGCCACCAGCACAGGACAUGGCUCCUGUCCUUCAGUGGUUAGUCAAAGAGACAACUGAAGACAUAACAGCUCACGCUAGGAGAACCCACCUAGGAGCAGUGGCUUAGCUGAGGCAGAGAAGCAGCAAGAGUCUCCAGCUUGGCCACGCUCAGCAGCCAAAGCUGCUCGCUUCCACCCUCAGUCCAGCCUGCUCGGGAACCUACAAGUCCCUCUGACCCCAAAGCUCCUCUGGGUCCUAGGCAUUUUCAAAUGCUGUGACAAGAUUUUACCUCAGCCUGGCACAUAGUAGGCUCAGAAGAAAUGUAUCUUGGAUGGACGGAUAAGAAGGUAGAUUUGUGGAUGAAGGAAAGAGGACAGAUAUGCAGGGAGAAGGCAAAAGAAUAGGAGGUGGUACAUGUGUAGACCUCCAGACCCCUCCUCGAUGGGCGCAAGGGCUUCUCCUUGAGAAAUCUGGUCAGGACCACAUGUCUCCUGCCAAAAAUGUCCAACUGGUCCCAGAGGAAAUCACUGGACAAGAGCGCAAAGAUGUG
Molecule: long non-coding RNA, 557 nt
Organism: Heterocephalus glaber (naked mole-rat)
Lineage: Eukaryota; Metazoa; Chordata; Mammalia; Rodentia; Bathyergidae
Source: Ensembl